AAUAUACUUUAAUCCUUCAAUUUUGAUACAAAACAUAACAUACCUUUCAGUGAUAUGUAUAAUAAAUAAUGUAAACAAUAGCAUUUAACAAGUACAACAUAAUAUAAAAUAUGUAAAUAAUCAAUGAGUUAUAAUAAAACCCAAUAUAGCAGAACUUUACAACCAAAUCAAAUUUUGUCUGUAGAUGAUAAAACAAAACCAUUACAGUAUAGUCUAAUAGAAUAGUUGAUAUGUGUUGUACUACAUCACACUUCCUAACUUUUUUUCACUAUAGGAAUGUAUUUCUACCAAGCUAUAAUCAAUUACAUAAAGCCUAAUAUAGCAGAAUUUUACAACCACUACACAUUUUGUCUGUUGAUGAUAAAAUAAAAAGAUUAUAGUCAAAUAGAAUAAUUGAUAUGUGUUGAACUACCUCACACUUCCCCAACUAUUUUCACUUUAUGAAUGUAUAUCCACCAAGCUAUCCAAUGAUAUCAAGUUUUUUUCUUUACUAUCAAAUUUAAUGCAUAAAAAUAUUUCAACAUUCUAUAAACAUAACUAUACAUAUUUUAUAUACAAGUCCAUGUAAGGAAUAAUCUUUGAAUAUAUUAUAUAUCAUGCAAAAAAGAAGCAAAAAAUAUCACUAAGAAUAUAAAUUAAUUUUCACAAAAUCUUAGGUGGUCAAAUAAAUUUCAAGAACAUUGAUUUAAAAAAAUCAAGAGAAUUUCCGAUAUGUUCUUUCUUUCAUUGACUGAAUGGAGUCCUGUAAAGGGACCUGUCUGAGUGAUUCUUGUCAAACUUUUCUCAAAAAUUGCUUUGGUACAGAUGUCAAAACAAUUAUAUUGAGCGGUAAUGCAGUAAAUAUUAUUUUUUAAUCACAAAAUAAGAAUAGUUAAGUAUUUUCUUUUACUAGGAGUUAUAAUCAACAUUUUAAAGAUGCAUCAAAUACAUCAUGGUUUUAUUUGGUGCUGUUGAUAUUCAAAAACCAAUGCAGAUUUAAAGUAGUUUUUUUUCUAAAUACAAAUUUGAGUUCCAAAGUUGAAGACUUGAGUAGAUUUUGAUUAAAACUUGAAAUGAAACCUCCCUAAUUGCUAGCAUAAUAUUUUGAUCCACUGUUUUGGAGAACUGAGUUUAUUCUUCAACAUUUUGACUACUUUCAGAUUAUUUUGAAACAACCAAGGGGGAUUAAACAUAAAUUUUAACUACAGAGAAAAACUGUAUACACAAAACAUACAUGAUUUUAUAAUAUGACUAAGAAAUCCUGCAUAUUAAAAAAAAUAUGAAACUAUUGAACGUACUGAAAGAUUGUACACAUCUGACUUUUUCAGACAGUUUUAUUUCUAUUCUAUAUCAGAGCAAAACUUUUAAACUACAUUUUAGUCAUUUGAACUAUGAUAAAUUGAAACACAACAAAA
Molecule: long non-coding RNA, 1394 nt
Filed under: Mytilus galloprovincialis (Mediterranean mussel)
Lineage: Eukaryota; Metazoa; Mollusca; Bivalvia; Mytilida; Mytilidae
Source: RNAcentral